UACGUAGGUGGCAAGCGUUAUCCGGAUUUACUGGGUGUAAAGGGCGUGUAGGCGGGACUGCAAGUCAGAUGUGAAACCCAUGGGCUCAACCCAUGGCCUGCAUUUGAAACUGUAGUUCUUGAGUGAUGGAGAGGCAGGCGGAAUUCCGUGUGUAGCGGUGAAAUGCAUAGAUAUAUGGAGGAACACCGGUGGCGAAAGCGGCUCUCUGGCCUGUAACUGACACUGAGGCUCGAAAGCGUGGGGAGCAAACAGG
This 253-nucleotide ribosomal RNA is filed under the name uncultured bacterium. Its description in RNAcentral is "partial 16S ribosomal RNA". It matches the Rfam family "Bacterial small subunit ribosomal RNA", at positions 524 to 776 of the family's 1533-position model. The record is from RNAcentral.